Molecule: ribosomal RNA, 301 nt
Filed under: uncultured bacterium
Lineage: Bacteria
Description: partial 16S ribosomal RNA
Rfam family: Bacterial small subunit ribosomal RNA
Source: RNAcentral
CAGCCGCCGCGGUAAUACGAAGGGUGCAAGCGUUAAUCGGAAUUACUGGGCGUAAAGCGCGCGUAGGUGGUUUGGUAAGAUGGAUGUGAAAUCCCCGGGCUCAACCUGGGAACUGCAUCCAUAACUGCCUGACUAGAGUACGGUAGAGGGUGGUGGAAUUUCCUGUGUAGCGGUGAAAUGCGUAGAUAUAGGAAGGAACACCAGUGGCGAAGGCGACCACCUGGACUGAUACUGACACUGAGGUGCGAAAGCGUGGGGAGCAAACAGGAUUAGAUACCCCGGUAGUCCCUGUCUCUUAUAC